Molecule: non-coding RNA, 3492 nt
Organism: Camellia sinensis
Lineage: Eukaryota; Viridiplantae; Streptophyta; Magnoliopsida; Ericales; Theaceae
Source: RefSeq, a predicted model, not a curated record
GCAGGGGGUCGGAGCCAGGGACGGGGUUGGAAAACAUAUCAUCGUCUCCGAUCCAAAAGUGAUCGGAGAUUCAUUUUUAAAUAUUAUCCCUGAUCCGUCGAAAAUAUUUUUGGAAAAAAAAAUCAUUCAAAUCAGAGUCGGGGAACGAUCCCGUCGGACUGCGUUUAAAUUACCAUCCCUGACCCUCCCUCUCAACCGGCGUUUUUGGCGCCCAAAUGUGCCCCCGCUUUUAGUCUGUUCCAUCUUCAAACCGCCUUCGCAAUUGAAAAUUCUCGUGCUCUCGACCGAACCAGAGCUAGGGUUUUGACAAGCUCUGAUAAAAACUCUUUUUGAUUCGGAGAUCAUGAAGAGAAGACGCGAAAUCAAUACCAGAGAUCCUCCAAAAAUCCGAAGUUCUUCAAUUAGAGUUUUUAAUGGAGUUCGUAGCUAUCCUGAAACGGGAGAUGAUGUAAUCAGGGGAAAAAGAGUGAAGUUUAGAGAUCCGGAAUUGGAUUGUCCUCCAAAUAUUAGACACACUGUUUCUUCCAUGCAACAUGAAGCAAUUGGGGAUCCAGGAUCCAAUGCCCCAAAGACUUCCGAGUACGCAUUCUUCAAGAAAUUAAAGCAGGAUGCAGGAGGUUGCUGUCGCUCUUGUCCUUUACAUAAAAAGGACAACCAAUUGAAAAAAGUUAAAACCAAGUGAGUUUUACCAGAGAGGCAACUAAUUUUGGUGAAAAUAGCCACAAGGUCAUCGGGACCCCAUUGCUCAUUGAAAAAGUUAAACCUAUUAACCACAAUUUGCUCCUCUCACCCCUUUGUGGUGCAUUAAAGAAUUCAGGGACUGAAUUCCAGGAUGAAAGAGUCUUUUCUGGAAAGAGAAAGAAAUUACAUCAGUGGGUUGUGGAGACCUCAUUACCUGAGGUGUAAUUUGGUUUCUGUUCUCCUCAAUCGGCUGUUCCCCGACAGUAAUGAAAACAAUCAUUGCUGGGAUGCAAAGCCAUCGCAGAUGAGAGCUGACACCAAAUAUUCAUCACAUGCUUUUCCCGACUCAAAUACCUGCGACAAGGAAUUUCAUUGGACUCAAAGAAGGGACCUUGUGGAAGAUGAGCAGGGGUGGUACUUGGAUGAUUUCCGUUGCAGAUCAAGAGAAAUAAUUACCUCAAAAUGGGAGACCCAAGGCUCUGAUUCUCCCUCAACCAGCUAUGCUGCAAAAAAAAAAAUUCAGUAUGAAAACAAGAAAUUUGGUUCUGAUUAUGAACGUGGUACUGCAAGUUUGAUCACUCUACGUGAUCCAUAUUUUUGUUCUAAUUUCGAAAAGUAUGGAUCUACUACAUCAAUUUGUGUUAAAGAGCUGAACAAAUUUCAAGAUCUGGAUGAUUCUGCUACUGGAAGAGAGCCAUGUACUUUGUUGCAAUUGGGUUGGGAUUCUAUUAACUUGAAAGAUGAAGGAGACUCGUCAAUUAAUACUUGCAACACAGAGACGAACUCGCAUUCCACAUUGGCAAAUUCAUGGGAUCAUCAUCACCAGCAUUGUCUGGAUGGAAGUUUUGAUGCAAGCGAGCCGUACUCUUUGUCCUUUUCCAAUUAUCCUUCCAAACAUACCUUACUACCACAACCUGAUUCAACCAAACUUUGUAAUUGGGAUGUGGGAAGAUUCCUUGAAGAGGAGAAGUUUCUUGUUAUAAACAAGGUUUUCAGUGAAAAGCAUCAUCCAGAUUUGGAAGCACUUGUCCUUCCCUCACAACUGCGUUUUGAUUUUGGAUGGAAGUGCUUAUCAAUGAGCGGUUCCUUUGGUGAACUUCACUUGUCUACUUAUGAUGACGGUUUUCAAUCUCCACAAAAGGAAAGUCCAUGUUCUUAUCUUCUUACAGAAGAGGAGCAAGAGGAUUGCUUGUAUAGCUCAAACCACAGACAAUCCAUUACUCAUUUUGCAGAAGAUACACUUGACAGUCAUGAAUGGUCUUCCAUUGAUUUCCAGAUACCUCUUGAUGACAGAGAGAUCUAUCUUCCUUUGCUGCUUGACAGUACAGGCUGGCUUAGACCUGAAGAAGAUAUACAUUAUGAUGAUGACAAAAGGAUCAAGAAGUCAGACAUACAUUACUUGAUUUCUGGGCUCUACUAAUUCUACCAACUCUAGUCAUGGACUAGAAGCCGAGAGGCGCAGGGGAUCGAACUCGGACUGAUGAGCAGGCCACCAAGAGCACUCUGCAUAAUACCCUCGUGGACCUAAUUGUCCCACAAGAAGCUGAGAGGAGAGAAAUAGGAGUGUGUGUGUCAAUUUCCGACCACACUGCCAAACAAGUAUCCAGCUGGAGAACACCGGCAGAAUAGAUUAAGCCCGAACGACUUGCAACAGAAAGAAGAGACUCCGGUGGAACGACUUGCAACAGAAAGAAGAGACUUCGGUGGUGGUUCGACUACCCGGGGGUACUCCGACGAUCAAGUCUGUUAUCUCUCAAAGAUAGCAAAAGUGCUUAACUCACUAUUCAGAAUAUCAAAAGCGUAUCUUAGACCCACGAAGAUGCCUCUCUUUUAUAGCCAACACUGACAUAAUCCCAAUAGAAGCCUAGCUCCAAUGGAGUCUAUCUCAAUGUUAAUCUUGGACUCCUAGUUAGAUUGUGAUAAACUCUCUAAGAGUUUUAUCUUUAUCCAGACUGAAGUCCUCCCCAAUUAUAGGGCUCUUGUUCCUUAUCCGCUUAUCUCGGAUUUUGGUAUUCUCGCAGAUUAUCUCGGCCUUGUCGACAUUACCUCGGCAUCAUGAUCAGCACACGUGGCACAUCGGCUGACACUUCGGUACCAUCUCGACCACGUGUUAUCAUUCAAAAAUUAUGUCUCUACAAGGAGAAUGAUAAGUUGCAUCCUCCCGAGUUGGAUCUAUUCAAGCCUAAUUAGAUGUUUAACUCGAGGAGUCAUUAUCUUGUAUUCCAAGAAAAUCAUAUUGGUUGUGUGCUCGCUCAAUAAACAAUGAUAAAUAAUUACAUAAUUAAAAAAAUAAAAUAUAUAAUAAUAAAUCACAAAAUAUUAUUAGAUAGACACAUGAUUUGGUGGUGUUUGACUUGUUUAAUAAUUUUUGCAAUUGGAGAGAAUUUCUUCUUUUUUUAUUUUUCUUUUGUCCAUAUUAGAAGUGUUGCUAGAUCAAUUAUAAAUAAUUAUUAAGUUUGAAGUAAUUAAAUUUUAUAUUUUAAUUAAGAGUCAUGUAUUUUGUAUUUUAUAUUAGUAUAUAUUUUUCCGUAAAUUAAUGGAGGACCGAAUUAACGUGAGGCGUUGUGCAUAGAGAAUGAGGACAAAAAAGGACAUCUGGCACGAGUCCCACUCGUGACCCUAUGCUUCCCGCCCACCGUACCUGUGCUGGUCCCCCCAUUGCCACGUCAUUUUGGUCACUUGGUCUUUUGCUGACAUCACCUUUUGAUGCUCGAGAACCGAGGGAGGAUUCAUUCCUUGUCUUCUCUACGUGGCUCAUUUCUUAGAAUCUAAUGAGUUAGGCCUCAUUUGGAAACAGGUUAAUUUAGUAAU